UCCGUAGCCGGCUUAGCAAGUCUCCUGUUAAAUUCAGCGACCUAAUCGUUGAGCCGCGGGAGACACUACUAGGCUAGGAGGCGGGAGAGGCCGACGGUAUUCUCGGGGUAGGGGUGAAAUCCUAUAAUCCCGGGAGGACCACCAGUGGCGAAGGCUGUCGGCUAGAACGCGCUCGACGGUGAGGGACGAAAGCUGGGGGAGCGAACAGGAUUAGAUACCCUGGUAGUCC
RNAcentral lists this ribosomal RNA (229 nucleotides) under uncultured bacterium. Its description in RNAcentral is "partial 16S ribosomal RNA". It matches the Rfam family "Archaeal small subunit ribosomal RNA", at positions 518 to 747 of the family's 1478-position model. The record is from RNAcentral.